Molecule: non-coding RNA, 26 nt
Filed under: Homo sapiens (human)
Lineage: Eukaryota; Metazoa; Chordata; Mammalia; Primates; Hominidae
Source: RNAcentral
UGGUGGUUGGUAUAGCCAAUGGUCAU